RNAcentral lists this small RNA (578 nucleotides) under Pan troglodytes (chimpanzee). Its description in RNAcentral is "retained intron". The record is from RNAcentral. Lineage: Eukaryota; Metazoa; Chordata; Mammalia; Primates; Hominidae.
CAGCAUAACAUUGCAACAUGUUUCCCCUCCUUUCAGCCCCUGCGUCAGCAGAGUGAUUCAGGUUGAACCUCAGGCCUACACCGACACACACGACAAUACCCGCUACAGCCCCCCACCCCCCUACAGCAGCCACAGCUUUGCCCACGAAACGCAGAUUACCAUGCAGUCCACUGUCCAGCUCCGCACGGAGUACGACCCCCACACGCACGUGUACUACACCACCGCUGAGCCGCGCUCCGAGAUCUCUGUGCAGCCCGUCACCGUGACACAGGACACCCUCAGCUGCCAGAGCCCAGAGAGCACCAGCUCCACAAGGGACCUGCUCUCCCAGUUCUCCGACUCCAGCCUCCACUGCCUCGAGCCCCCCUGUACGAAGUGGACACUCUCAUCUUUUGCUGAGAAGCACUAUGCUCCUUUCCUCUUGAAACCAAAAGCCAAGGUAGUGGUGAUCUUCCUUUUUCUGGGCUUGCUGGGGGUCAGCCUUUAUGGGACCACCCGAGUGAGAGACGGGCUGGACCUUACGGACAUUGUACCUCGGGAAACCAGAGAAUAUGACUUUAUUGCUGCACAAUUCAAAU